UAUUCUAGAUCUCCCCUCUCAGAUUGCACAGGAGUUCGAGGUCCUUCAUAAAGAGGCAUCAGACAAAAUGUUUGUGACCUGGAGGAGGUUCAGCGAGAAGCUUCUUCAUGUGGCCCAGUGGGGAGGAGGGGAAGCUCCACGUGCAGACACAGUCUUUGUCACAAGGCUCCAAAGACUACAUUGCCCUGAUGGUUCUGCCAAGCCUGAUGCCACCUGCAGUCUUCAGGAUGGGCCUGAAAGACCGUGAGGACUACAGUGUCUGACGCCAUGAAGGCCUUCAUCGAUCUUAAGCCUGUCGGAACAAACAUGGUGGAGUACCUUCAGGCAGCAGACCAGA
This is a long non-coding RNA of Sander lucioperca (pikeperch), 337 nucleotides long. RefSeq lists it as uncharacterized. The record is from RefSeq and is a predicted model, not a curated record. NCBI's taxonomy places the organism in Eukaryota, Metazoa, Chordata, Actinopteri, Perciformes, Percidae. The transcript is spliced from 3 exons.